RNAcentral lists this ribosomal RNA (343 nucleotides) under uncultured bacterium. RNAcentral's name for it is "bacterial SSU rRNA". It matches the Rfam family "Bacterial small subunit ribosomal RNA", at positions 28 to 334 of the family's 1533-position model. The record is from RNAcentral.
GAUGAACGCCGGCGGUGUGCCUAAUACAUGCAAGUCGUACGCACUGGCCCAACUGAUUGAUGGUGCUUGCACCUGAUUGACGAUGGAUCACCGGUGAGUGGCGGACGGGUGAGUAACACGUAGGUAACCUGCCCCGGAGCGGGGGAUAACAUUUGGAAACAGAUGCUAAUACCGCAUAACAACAAAAGCUGCAUGGCUUUUGUUUGAAAGAUGGCUUUAGCUAUCACUCUGGGAUGGACCUGCGGUGCAUUAGCUAGUUGGUAAGGUAACGGCUUACCAAGGCGAUGAUGCAUAGCCGAGUUGAGAGACUGAUCGGCCACAAUGGAACUGAGACACGGUCCAU